Molecule: long non-coding RNA, 7923 nt
Organism: Hemicordylus capensis (graceful crag lizard)
Lineage: Eukaryota; Metazoa; Chordata; Lepidosauria; Squamata; Cordylidae
Exons: 2
Source: RefSeq, a predicted model, not a curated record
GCCGCGAGAGCUUCACUUCCUCCUUGAACGGGCUUCAGGCAGCAGCUCCGGAUUUUAGUCCAUGCAGCAGCAUUCCCAGCUAGGCAACCCUAAAGCGGAUCCAACAGGAAAUCACAAGGGGUGCCUGCCCAGCCCAGCAUAGCUGUAGCCUAGCAUGAAAAGCUGCACACACUGAAAUCCGGAGCAGUGAAUUUGGGGACACGUAGUUCCGUGAGUGACUACAACGAUCGAUCCGCUCAUGCAACGAACUACAUGUCCCAACAUGCACUGCUCUGGAUUUUGGUACCUGCUUGCACUUCAAGGUAGGCUCCACCUCUGGAGGGAGGGGGGAAUUGCACUUUCAAAACACGAGCAGCUGCAGGGAAGGAAUGCACAGUAGUUUGGGGGAAAGCAGUCCCCGUCUGGCAGCCGCAAAGGGAGGAUGCCGUCUGUUGUCUUCUGCUCCCAGAGACGGACCCAUCACUCUUCUUUCUACUACGCAUCCGUAGCCAACACAGAGGACAAUGUUGGGAUUUCAGAAGCUGUCUGGAGGAGACCAGAAGCAGACAGACAGCACCUGGGUGAGGGAAGCCUCCUCCAGAUCCCCUCCCCUCUGUGAUCUGCUCUUUCUAUUAUUCAUUUUUAUUCUCACAAUAUGUUUUUUAAAAUGUGCAACCAAAUACAAUAUUCAGUUAAGGGGGGGGCAGUUAUCAAAGAACAUUGGAGCAUGCAAAAGUUGUAUGUUGUCAGAGAGAAAGAGGGAAAAUGAGAAAGGGAGUAGUCCAGGCUCCUCUAGAACCCGCACUGUGUCUGUUUUGCCCCUCAUUGCCAAAAAUGCUCCUCGCAGUACAUGGCAGCUUCCUAUAUUCCUAGAGCCUGGACUGCAAUGUGGAGAGGAGGAAGCUCUAAACCAGCUUGUAAAAAGCUUAUCUUGUGGGUCAGUUGUCUGCAAGACCCGUGUGUUUGAAAAUUUCUCUGUAACAGCACUUUUUCCAGUCCUGCUGGGGAAGAUGCAGCUAUGGAAAGUUUCCCUUGAAUGCUUUAGUACACAAAUAGAAAAAUGGCGGGUGGGGGGAGUUGAACUACUGGUAUUGGGAGGAGAGCAAGUAUGCAAUUACUUUCCAGAUAUGAGCUACAUAUUCCAUACAGUACUUCUCUAUACUUGCUGCAUGGUAUUGAUGUGAAUUUGGUUCGUCCCUGGGUCCGCCUUUUAGUCAAUCAAACAGACGCAGUGGGAAUCAUUUAGAGGCUUUUAUUGCUACUGCAGUUUUAGCAAUAGGUAAUCAGUAGGCUCACGCUCUUAAACUGAUUACAGUUUGGUUACAGGCGCAUCUUACAUUUAUACAAACAAUCUGAAUGAUGCUGACACCCUAGACAUAGUAUACGUGCCAAUAAAAUGGUGGACUAAGUAUCUAGUACGCAUGCGAAUGAUUCAUUGUUCAUCUGGUGAUUACUCCUUAUUUGGUUAAAUCCUGUCAGCAAAGAACAGUGAGAACCUUGUGAGAACCAAGUUUCUUAGAUACAAUUUAGUGGAGAGAGAUAACGACAUUGAUCAUGAGAGGCAGUGAUGUCCCUGAGCUGGGCUGGGGUUACUUUAAGUUAGAAUGAGGUUUUCUAAGUAAAAUGGAGUUGCUUUGGUUUUCUAAACACAUCAGUGUCUGUGUGUGUAAAUCCAACUAGGACGCCUUUUCAACUCUGCUAACUGAGCAAAGAGGCACCUUUUUAUAGUGGUUGAUAUAACCCGGGACCCCAAUUCCCAUAAAACUACAUUUAACACAGAACAACACUACAUACAGGCCCAACGCCUGAACCUAAGCACAACCAUUUCGUGACCAAAUAUUAAACUCUUAAGUUACCUUUAGAAUAUAGUUGGGCCCACAGGCCCUCUCUUCCCUUCCUUUCUUCACACCAGAGCUGUCUCUGAACCUUUGGAAUGUAAAUUAGAAUUGCUAGCUUCACUCCUCCUCUGCGCACAUCCUAGCCUUGGAGAUAAGGAAGUGCUAGCCAUACAGAUGUAGGAAAACAAUUGUUACAAGAGGAAAACAAUUGUUACAAGAGCAUAGCCAAAGGCAUUAAGAGUGAAACUGUGACUAAAAGGGUUGAUCAACAUCUGAGACCACCAAAUGCCAAUUACCAUGUCAAUAGUUUGUUGUUUGAUGUCAACUGGAGAUUGAUCUACGUAUGUAAUUGCUAAAGUGUCCUCUUUCAAUGUAUUGCUAUGUCAUAGAUGGGUAGAACAAAGAACUUAGAAAUGUAUAAAUAGUUCCUUAAAGCUCUGUAUCCCUUCACAACUGAUUUGGGCGCUGCCUUGCCCCGUUGUCUUACUGAUCUGCAGAAGUAAAAACGAUCAAAACUUUUCCGCUGUGUGGAAUCAAUUAUUGGCGUCAGAUACCACCCAGACAAAGAACCGGAUUUUCAGUGUAUCAAUUUGGUGCGUUGGCCGGGAAAGUGGGGAGCGGGCAAAGCACCAGCUUCCCCAGUCUGGGAGCAGAGGGGCCGACCGAGGAAUCCACGGGACUCCGGAACCAGCGCGCACCGGUCAUCUUCACCGAGGUACGAACUCCCACUCGCUGCAAACUGGUGACGCAAGCAAAACGGAGAAGUGAGUAUAUUGGUUGAUAGAGCGACCGAAGGACCGUAGAGGGUCAAGGGAAUGGCACGAGGUAAGGCCCACAGGCUGAGGGGGGAGGGUGAUUGUGCACCCGAAAGGCGGGCAGUCCAGUAGAGUGGGCGUGCCCCUCCCGUAGAAGCCACGGGCACUGUGUCGAGCGCUCAGAGUAAGGAAAGGGAAGUAAAACGGUGUACACCAUUGCAAUAUGUCCUAGAUAAUUGGAAGCAAUUUGGCAAGGGUUCUCUAGAGAAGAAAAUUUUGGUUAAAUUAUUGUACAGAAAUUUGGCCCUUUUUACAAAUUAGAAUCUGACUUAAAAUGACCACAAGAAGGUACCAUACAUCCAGAGGUUGUUUUGAAACUGUUAAGAUUUUGUAUAAAUGCAUGUAAAGUAGAUGAUUUUAGGUAUGCUCAAUGUUUUGUUAAACUAUGUGAUGAUGAGAGUGUGAGAAAGAAAUGUGUUUUGGGAAUGAUUGUUAACUACUGUACAGACUAAGAAGGUUUCAUUUGUAUACCCUGAAUGUUGUCCACUCCCCUAUGCGCCAGCUCUACCGCUACGUGGAGCUCCCCCUCCUUUUCAUUCCUCCCCGCCAGCUUCUUCCGCACCAUCAGGGCAAGAAGGCAUCCUGCACCAUCCCAGUGUGGGAAGGCCAGGCACGAUACCCCCUUGCUCAGUGGCCACUCAAAGGGCGAGUGUAUAUAAAAUAUAUGAUCCUAAGGUUAUUGUGCUGUACAAAAGCUGUUGCUUUUUUGGAUUGUAUAGAGAUAUAGCUCUUAGAUAAAAGUAUGGUUUAGUAGCUGCAACUGAUGUGUAAACAGAAAGGACUUCUAAUGAAUACUCUGAACAUGUAUAUUUUGCCCCUCACCAACCUCAAUCUGCUCAGAGGUUGGACCCAGCCGCUCUUAAUAUUACCCAAGAGCUGCCUGACAAAGGGGUGCCAAGCAAAACCAUUUGUCAAUAACAAAGCAAGAUCAGGAAAAGGCAUGCUUAAACGCACGCGGUUCCCAACACCACCCAUUUCCCUGGCCACCCUAGUUAGAACACCAGAGCUUGGGGGUAAGGCAAAAGGUUCUGAAGAAGAAGAAGGGAAAGAAGGGGACCCCCACACUAUUUUUGGAGCAAGGCCCACGCCAGCUCAAACAAGGACCACAACCCAAGACACUCGAGAAAAGGAAGGGACAGGAGCUUCGAGAGGCUUUUACCGACUAGCCACUGAAGGUGACCUAUCCCCAAUCCCUGUUUCACUAUUAGAACCCAAGAUCAGAUCAGAAGCGCCUCCAAAUCUCAGAAACUACAAGGCUCUUAUAUUACAAGCCUUGAACCCUGCCCAGAGGAGCACCAGCCAUCAGGGAAUCCACCUACUGAAUCCCCAGCUAAGCGUUUAGAAUGCUUAACUCAUUAGAACUAAGCUGCAAAGUUUGAAGGGGGGGGCAGGGCUCUUCCCCCCUGCAUUGGCGGAAGAAAGCUGACAGAAGUGUUUAAAGGGAGAGAGUAGGAGCAGAAGGAAAAAGGAAUGUGUAAAGGAAGAAGGCGAUAAGGGUGGAGGCACAGAUCUUAGAUGGUAAAUAUGCGAAAGAACGGAAAAGUAGAGGUGUGAAGGCAUAUUGGAUGUUUAAAGAAGGUAUGAGAAGUGGAAAAAGAUACUUGGGACCUGCAAGGCAACGCCUGGGUCCAAAUAAAUGCAGGAAAACCGGUCAUUGACACCGUGAAUGUGAAUGGGUAUUACACCCAUGGGAACGGAAUGCAUUGGAACCUCGUCCAUUGAGCGAUCCGGGAACCAUGCAGGGGGAAGAGUGACCCAGCCCCCAUUAUCCCCACUCUCAGACCAUGUAAUUCAGCAAAGAGCCACCCCCUUUUCUCCAAAAUGAAAUCCAGCCUGGCUUGGGCUGAGAACAGACUUUUCACCAAGCCAUCUCACUUCAAGGGCUUUGGCAGAAUCUAACAAAGAAGAACCAAGAUUGUGAAGGGGGGUGAGUCAAAGUGAUUUUAUGUUGUAACUAACUACUGAAAUUUUCCUGAAGAAGUUCUUUGAAGAUUGCCUUGUGAAGUGAAGAAAAGAAAUAAGGAGCGGGGCAAGCCUAUGAAGAAAAGGGAACCUGUGUCAUACCCUUGCUCUCUUACCCACACGCAGCCCCCAAAGGGAAUUAGUUAGAAGCUAGCACAUUAGAGCUAGCCAGAGGAACAAGUUUUGCUUUAAAUGAACUUGCUUUGUCAGAAUGAGGCACCAGCUAUGAAAAGUGUGUUGUGUUAAAAUUAUGGUUUAAGUGUUUUUGGAACCUCAUUAUGGAUAAAGGAAUGACAUCUUGUAAGGAGAAAGUUACCAUCUAUAAUCCAUAGCUUUAAACAGAAUUUUUAUGUAUGUGUACACUUGUGUUUUAUAUGUUUGUCUUUGCCUAGGCCUCUCUUAUAACCUGUAAUACUUUCAGGUUUAUCCUUGUUAAAGAUGGAUCCAACUCCGUUUUAGGAAUCCAGAUUCUCUCUUCUUUAAUAUCUAUGGUUGAAUCUUCUUCCUGAGUAAGCUUGUCUUACGCCUAUAAAUCUUUCUGAGUCUUUCCCCUUGUUAUGGAAUCAAACCUCAGUCUUGAGAGUCUUUUUCGUGUUGUUUUGGCUUCAUUAACUAAUAGAUGUAUUAGAACUUGGUUGAAUAUGUAUACCUUAUGAAUUUUAUACUGGGACUCAAACCUUUCUCUACAAAUCGUGAAAACCAGCUAACCUACCUCUGUUAAACCAAUCUAUAUCUGUUUAAGGAUCCAGAAAUUUCUUUUUAGUGUUUGUGAUUGGAUUCUGACCCAACCCCUGACUAUGUAAUAAUGCAAUUGGGAUUCCCUCUCUUAAUGGGAGAUACAGAUACUGCCAUUUCAUUCUUCUACCGUUUUGAAAAGAUUUUUGCCAAAACCUUUUCAACCUCUGGUUUACUGCCCUUGUGGCUCCUGGAAACUAAUAUCUAUGUUCUUUUCUAUUGUUCAUUACCAGGAAAGAACUCAUUUCCCAGUACUGCCUUACGGAUACAAGCUGUGAGGUUACUUGAGUAAUGGUUAAAACCUAGAAUCUUAAAAGCUGAGCUCGUUGUUUUUAAAUGUAGUCCCUUUUUGACUAUUCUUAUGUGUUACUACUGAUCCCAUUUAUGUCUAUUAACUAUAUUUGUUCUGACCUUUGUCUUUCUGCUGACCAGCAGAUGUAAUACCAGUUGUAUGUAUGAGCCCCUGGUGGCGCAGUGGUAAAACUGCCGCCCUGUAACCAGAAGGUUACAAGUUUGAUCCUGACCAGGGGCUCAAGGUUGACUCAGCCUUCCAUCCUUCCGAGGUCGGUAAAAUGAGUACCCAGAAUGUUGGGGGCAAAAUGCUAAAUCAUUGUAAACCGCUUAGAGAGCUUCCAGCUAUAGAGCGGUAUAUAAAUGUAAGUGCUAUUGCUAUGUACCCUAUGCCUUGCAAACUUUAGAAUUUGCUGUGAGUUACUAAACCGUUAUUUACCUUUUCCAAGGUUGCAGCUGGAACCAUUCCUAGCCCUGCCUUGGAAAUAUUGCCAAGAGGAGGAGGAGCCGGAGUCCUCCCACAGGCUCCUCUCUCACAAGACUAUACAAUCUUGUCUAAAUUUCUCUCACUCUCAAAGUAAUAGGUAAUAGGUGGUUACCAGGACUUGGGUAUAAUCCGAUCAGAUUAAAGGCCCCAGAAGAGGAAGCAGAACACGGAGAAGUGGAAACAGAGGACGACCAGAACAGCCAAAAUCCUGCCACGAGGGAGGACACCCUAGAACGCUGAAGAUAAGAAACCCUGAACUAGCCAGAGACUCUAUAUCAAACGGACAAAGGGGGGCAGAUUGGGUCUUGAGUUACUGCAAUAUGCACCCCGUCAUGGGACCUUUCACUAUGUAUGCUUGUUUAAUGUAUUGUCUGAUUUACUUAACUUUUCUACCUAAUUAUGCUCAAGAAGGGUGGGAAGGCAAUAGCCUCGUUCAAAUGUACCAGUCUGCCUUAGAAACCUUUGGAAGACAUGCUGCAGACAAGUCCUGCUUGCUGCCCCUGCCUCAUCUCUUAAUAUAGAGAUGCCAGGAGCUGGGAGCUUUACACCUACAUAUGGGUUAGCAAAAACUUGUAAUGACAUCUAUGCUUUGUACCAAUUUAUUAAGAAACUGUCUAUGUCUCUGGAAUCACUUGUAAAUGGAACUGUCACACCAAGUCCAGCUGCACGAGCUAAGACCUCCUUAGUGUUCCAAAGGACCACCAUGUAAGAGACUCUGGCUCCAGAUUCCAUGCUCCUGAGCCAAGCAGGUGUUUGUAAAUUUUUGAAUCAAGCUUGCUGUAUGUACGUUGCUAAAAUAGGGCACCCUGAAACACCAUCACACAAUUUUCCGUAGUGGCACACAGAAACUUCCUCUCGCUAUAUAGAGAGUGAGGAAAUCUAUAGAAUGUAUUUACAAGUAAUUUUAUGCUUAUAUAUAAUCUGCUCAUGGCUCAUUCUGAUUAUGCUUUGCUCUCCAAAUUAGGAAUGCUUCUUCUCGUUUAGUACAUAUCACAAGCCAUAACCCACUUAUUGCCAGAUACUUCAUGAAAACAAUAGUAACAGGCUGCUAAAAACAAAGGUAAAACAACCAGAAAACAAACACAAAGAAGGAAACUACAGGUAUGAGUUUAUGUGAAUUGUGAGAGAAUCAAGAAGAUGUUGAAGCAGCGAAUUCCUGUAAGGAGGAAUUCUGGCUUCAAAGGGGGGUCUGAUAUAACCCGGGACCCCAAUUCCCAUAAAACUACAUUUAACACAGAACAACACUACAUACAGGCCCAACGCCUGAACCUAAGCACAACCAUUUCGUGACCAAAUAUUAAACUCUUAAGUUACCUUUAGAAUAUAGUUGGGCCCACAGGCCCUCUCUUCCCUUCCUUUCUUCACACCAGAGCUGUCUCUGAACCUUUGGAAUGUAAAUUAGAAUUGCUAGCUUCACUCCUCCUCUGCGCACAUCUUAGCCUUGGAGAUAAGGAAGUGCUAGCCAUACAGACUGUAGGAAAACAAUUGUUACAAGAGGAAAACAAUUGUUACAAGAGCAUAGCCAAAGCCAAUAAGAGUGAAACUGUGACUAAAAGGGUUGAUCAAUAUCUGAGACCACCAAAUGCCCAUUACCAUGUCAAUAGUUUGUUGUUUGAUGUCAACUGGAGAUUGAUCUACGUAUGUAAUUGCUAAAGUGUCCUCUUUCAAUGUAUUGCUAUGUCAUAGAUGGGUAGAACAAAGAACUUAGAAAUGUAUAAAUAGUUCCUUAAAGCUCUGUAUCCCUUCACAACUGAUUUGGGCGCUGCCUUGCCCCGUUGUCUUACUGAUCUGCAGAAGUAAAAACGAUCAAAACUUU